Molecule: ribosomal RNA, 490 nt
Filed under: uncultured bacterium
Lineage: Bacteria
Description: partial 16S ribosomal RNA
Rfam family: Bacterial small subunit ribosomal RNA
Source: RNAcentral
AGUGAACGCUGGCGGUAGGCCUAACACAUGCAAGUCGAACGGCAGCACAGUAAGAGCUUGCUCUUACGGGUGGCGAGUGGCGGACGGGUGAGGAAUACAUCGGAAUCUACUUUUUCGUGGGGGAUAACGUAGGGAAACUUACGCUAAUACCGCAUACGACCUACGGGUGAAAGCAGGGGAUCUUCGGACCUUGCGCGAUUGAAUGAGCCGAUGUCGGAUUAGCUAGUUGGCGGGGUAAAGGCCCACCAAGGCGACGAUCCGUAGCUGGUCUGAGAGGAUGAUCAGCCACACUGGAACUGAGACACGGUCCAGACUCCUACGGGAGGCAGCAGUGGGGAAUAUUGGACAAUGGGCGCAAGCCUGAUCCAGCCAUACCGCGUGGGUGAAGAGGCCUUCGGGUUGUAAAGCCCUUUUGUUGGGAAAGAAAAGCAGCAGGUUAAUACCCCGCUGUUCUGACGGUACCCAAAGAAUAAGCACCGGCUAACUUCGU